CUCCGCCGGCGACCGGCGCACGGGUGAGUAACACGUAUGCAACCUGCCCCUGUCAGGGGGACAACCCGCCGAAAGGCGGGCUAAACCCGCGUACAUGCCACCGGGGCAUCCCGGAGGCAGGAAAGGCUUCGGCCGGACAGGGAUGGGCAUGCGGCGCAUUAGGCAGUAGGCGGGUAACGGCCCACCUAACCGACGAUGCGUAGGGGUUCUGAGAGGAAGGUCCCCCACACUGGUACUGAGACACGGACCAGACUCCUACGGGAGGCAGCAG
Molecule: ribosomal RNA, 271 nt
Filed under: uncultured bacterium
Lineage: Bacteria
Description: partial 16S ribosomal RNA
Rfam family: Bacterial small subunit ribosomal RNA
Source: RNAcentral